UGGCUCUCGCACCGAUGAAGAACGCAGCGAAAUGCGAUAAGUAAUGUGAAUUGCAGAAUUCAGUGAAUCAUCGAAUCUUUGAACGCACCUUGCACUCCUUGGUAUUCCGAGGAGUAUGCCUGUUUGAGUGUCAUUAAAUUCUCAAACCUUUUUCCUUCUUGGAAAAGAUGGUUUGGAUCUUGAGAGUUUGCAGGUUUUUGUCAAAAUCAGCUCUCUUUAAAUUUAUUAGCAGAUUUGGCCUUUUGUUCCACAUUCUCAAUUGAUGUGAUAGGUUAUCCACAUCUCUAGAGAUUGAAAUUAUCUGCUUAUAACUGUCUCUUUUUAGGGGACACUUUGACAAUUUGACCUCAAAUCAGGUAGGACUACCCGCUGA
This 373-nucleotide unclassified non-coding RNA is filed under the name uncultured fungus. RNAcentral describes it as "partial contains 5.8S ribosomal RNA and internal transcribed spacer 2". The stretch from base 1 to 133 matches the Rfam family "5.8S ribosomal RNA", at positions 22 to 154 of the family's 154-position model. Lineage: Eukaryota; Fungi. The record is from RNAcentral.